RNAcentral lists this ribosomal RNA (468 nucleotides) under uncultured bacterium. RNAcentral describes it as "partial 16S ribosomal RNA". It matches the Rfam family "Bacterial small subunit ribosomal RNA", at positions 28 to 507 of the family's 1533-position model. The record is from RNAcentral.
GACGAACGCUGGCGGCGUGCUUAACACAUGCAAGUCGAACGGAAAGUCCCUGCUUUUGUUGGGUUCUCGAGGGGCGAACGGGUGAAUAACACGUGAGUAACCUGCCCUUGACUUUGGGAUAACUUCAGGAAACUUGGGCUAAUACCGUAUAGGAGCUCCUGCUGCAUGGUUGGGUUUGGAAAGUUUCGGCGGUUGGGGAUGGACUCGCGGCUUAUCAGCUUGUUGGUGGGGUAGUGGCUUACCAAGGCUUUGACGGGUAGCCGGCCUGAGAGGGUGACCGGCCACAUUGGGACUGAGAUACGGCCCAGACUCCUACGGGAGGCAGCAGUGGGGAAUAUUGCAAAAUGGGAGGAAGCCUGAUGCAGAAACGCCGCGUGCGGGAUGACGGCCUUCGGGUUGUAAAAAGCUUUCGCCUGUGACGAAGCGUGAGUGACGGUAAUGGGUAAAGAAGCACCGGCUAAAUACGUG